This 254-nucleotide ribosomal RNA is filed under the name uncultured bacterium. RNAcentral describes it as "partial 16S ribosomal RNA". It matches the Rfam family "Bacterial small subunit ribosomal RNA", at positions 524 to 776 of the family's 1533-position model. The record is from RNAcentral.
UACGAAGGGGGCUAGCGUUGCUCGGAAUCUCUGGGCGUAAAGCGCACGUAGGCGGACUCUUAAGUCGGUGGUGAAAUCCUGGAGCUCAACUCCAGAACUGCCUUCGAUACUGAGAGUCUCAGAGUCCGGGAGAGGUGAGUGGAACUCCGAGUGUAGAGGUGAAAUUCGUAGAUAUUCGGAAGAACACCAGUGGCGAAGGCGGCUCACUGGCCCGGUACUGACGCUGAGGUGCGAAAGCGUGGGGAGCAAACAGG